AGAGUUUGAUCCUGGCUGAGGACGAACGCUGGCGGUGCGCCUUAUGCAUGCAAGUUGAGCGAAGCUUUUUGGUAGUUUACUACUAGAAAUGACUGAGCGGCGAACGGGUGAGUAACGCGUGAGCAAUCUACCUUAGUUACUGGGAUAGCCCGAGGAAACUCGGAUUAAUACCGGAUAUUCUUAUUUUUUCACAUGAAGUUUUAAGGAAAGGUCAGCCGAACUAAGAUGAGCUCGCGUUCUAUCAGCUAGUUGGUGGGGUAAAAGCCUACCAAGGCUACGACGGAUAGCUGGUCUGAGAGGACGAUCAGCCACACUGGGACUGAGACACGGCCCAGACUCCUACGGGAGGCUGCAGCAGGGAAUAUUGUGCAAUGAGCGAAAGCUUGACACAGCGACACCGCGUGUGGGAUGACGGUUCUAGGAUUGUAAACCACUUUCAGGAGGGAAGAAAAUGACGGUACCUCCACAAGAAGACCCGGCCAACUAUGUGCCAGCCGCCGCGGUCAUACCUAGGGGUCAAGCG
RNAcentral lists this ribosomal RNA (523 nucleotides) under uncultured bacterium. RNAcentral describes it as "bacterial SSU rRNA". It matches the Rfam family "Bacterial small subunit ribosomal RNA", at positions 8 to 540 of the family's 1533-position model. The record is from RNAcentral.